AAGGAUCAUUAUCGAGUUUUGACUGGGUUGUAGCUGGCCUUGCGAGGCAUUGUGCACGCCCUGCUCAUCCACUCUACACCUGUGCACUUACUGUGGGUUAUGGAUUGUGUGGAGCUCGCUCGCUCUUUGACGAGUUUGCGAAGCGCGUCUGUGCCUGCGUUUUACCACAAACACUAUUAAAGUAUCAGAAUGUGUAUUGCGAUGUAACGCAUCUAUAUACAACUUUCAGCAACGGAUCUCUUGGCUCUCGCAUCGAUGAAGAACGCAGCGAAAUGCGAUAAGUAAUGUGAAUUGCAGAAUUCAGUGAAUCAUCGAAUCUUUGAACGCACCUUGCGCUCCUUGGUAUUCCGAGGAGCAUGCCUGUUUGAGUGUCAUGAAAUCUCUUCAACCUACAGUCUCUUUGCGGUUUUUGUAGGCUUGGACUUGGAGGCUUGUCGGUCUUUACUGAUCGGCUCCUCUCAAAUGCAUUAGCUUGGUUCCUUUGCGAAUCGGCUGUCGGUGUGAUAACGUCUACGCCGUGACCGUGACGCGUUUGGCAAGCUUCUAACCGUCCUGUUAUUGGGACAACUCUUAUGACCUCUGACCUCAAAUCAGGUAGGACUACCCGCUGAACUUAA
RNAcentral lists this ribosomal RNA (617 nucleotides) under Ganoderma zonatum. Its description in RNAcentral is "eukaryotic LSU rRNA". The stretch from base 221 to 374 matches the Rfam family "5.8S ribosomal RNA". Lineage: Eukaryota; Fungi; Basidiomycota; Agaricomycetes; Polyporales; Polyporaceae. The record is from RNAcentral.